Long non-coding RNA from Drosophila montana, 813 nucleotides. RefSeq lists it as uncharacterized. The transcript is spliced from 2 exons. NCBI's taxonomy places the organism in Eukaryota, Metazoa, Arthropoda, Insecta, Diptera, Drosophilidae. The record is from RefSeq and is a predicted model, not a curated record.
UUAUGGCCCAUUUGAAUAUCCUGUGACCGGGCAAUAAAAACGUCACCGACAACUGUCACACACACACCCAGUUUCGUUAAGAGUCUUACUUAUCAGAAAGCUGGGCGGGAUCGGGGCGUACAGGCAUUGUCGAGAUGCUUCAGUGUCAAUUCAAUUUUAUUUUCAUUGUGUCAUAACAAUAACAUAAAAUUAAAAUAACAUAAAAAGGAAGUUGAGGAUGCACAGAAAACAGUUCGCUCCGUGGAAGAGCAACCGAGUUGUCGGCUGCAAAUCAACUUGGCGUAAAAUUGUCAGGCCGUGUUCUUCUUCCUGCUGUCGUUGCAACAGCUGCUGCUGCUGCUGCUGUUGAUAUUAUCCUUGUUAUGUGUAUUUCGUUAGUGACAUAUAAAAAAGGCAACAAAGCACAUGAGCUCUGCAUAAAACAGGAAACGGAAACACAUCAGCGGAACGGAAGUCAAAAAGUCGUCACAUUCACAUAACAAUGAUGGCAGCCAUAUACCCAGCAUGCAAGGCAUUCCGCUUUGUUUUGCCCGACUUUGAAAAGCAGGAGUUUGAGUGGGAGAAGAAGCGGUUCGCAAGAAGGGGCCACCAUGACUUACCAAAAAGCCGGCAUCUCCAGCUUUUGGCCGAUUUCAGCCAUGAGAUUCCACCAAAUGGCCCCCAUUUUCCCCAAUUUUGUUGUAUCCUUUUUUGUUAUUUUCUGACAGCGUUGUUUGGUGUCUGGCAUUGUGUCUGUCCUUUCGCCGUUGCAGGAAUUCAUUUGGAAAAUUAAUAAAAAUAUAUGUGUACUCUCAUACACAUACAUAUACAAAA